RNAcentral lists this ribosomal RNA (253 nucleotides) under uncultured bacterium. RNAcentral describes it as "partial 16S ribosomal RNA". It matches the Rfam family "Bacterial small subunit ribosomal RNA", at positions 524 to 776 of the family's 1533-position model. The record is from RNAcentral.
UACGAGGGGGGCAAGCGUUGUUCGGAAUUAUUGGGCGUAAAGGGUGCGUAGGCGGUCUGACAAGUCUGAUGUGAAAUCUAUGGGCUCAACCCAUAGUCUGCAUCGGAAACUGUCGGGCUAGAGUCCGGAAGGGGCGAGUGGAAUUCCUGGUGUAGCGGUGAAAUGCGCAGAUAUCAGGAGGAACACCGAUGGCGAAGGCAGCUCGCUGGGACGUGACUGACGCUGAGACGCGAAAGCGUGGGGAGCAAACAGG